UAGAGUUUCAAAAACUAUGUUAAAUGUAAGUGGUGAAAGACGGCAAUCCUGUUGUGUUCCAGUUUUUAGAGGGAAUGCUUUCAAUUUUUCUCCAUUUAGAAUGAUGUUGGCCUUGGCCUUAGCAUAGAUAACUUUUACAAUGUUGAGAUGUUUCCAUUUUCCCUAGUUUUUCUAGUGUUUUGAAAUGAAGGGGUGCUGUAUUUUGUCAAAUGCUUUUUCUGCAUCUGUUAUGAUGAUAUGAUUCUUAUCUUAAGUCUAUUGAUGGGAUGAUGAAUUACAUUUAAUGAUUUCUCUAUGUCGAACCAACCUUGCAUCUCUCAGAUGAACCUCACUUAAUUGUGGUACACUAUUUUUUUUAAAGAGAAAUUAGGAAAACUACUCCAUUUACAAUAGCCUCAAAAAAAAAAAAACUUGGAAAUCAACUUAAUGAAAGAGGUGAAAGAACUCUAUAAUGAAAACUAUAGAACGCUACAGAAAGAAAUUAAAGAAAACCUUACAAGAUGGAAAGAUCUACCUUGUUCUUGGAUAGGCAGAAUUAAUAUUGUAAAAUGACCAUAGUACCAAAAACACUAUGCAGAUUUAAUGCAAUUUCAAUCAAAAUUCCAAUGACAUUCCUCAUAGAAAAAGCUAUCAUGUAAUUCAUCUGGAAAAAUAAGAGACCAGAAUAGCCAAAGCAAUACUUAGUGAGUGAAGCAGGUGGCAUCACAAUACCAGACCUUAAACUAUACUACAGAGCAAUAGUAACAAAAACAUCAUUGUAUUGGCACCAAAAUAGAUUGGUAUACCAAAUGGUACAGAUAGAGGACACAGAGACAAACCCACAUAAAAACAGUUAUCUCAUACUAGACAAAGGCACCAAAAACAUAUACUGGAGAAAAGAUAGCCUCUUCAACAAAUGGUGCUGGGAAAACUGGAAAUUCAUAUGCAUCAAAAUGAAAUUAAGCCCCUAUUUCUCACCAUGCACAAAAUUCAACUCAAAGUGGACAAAGGACCUAGGAAUUAGACCAGAAACCCUAUGCCCCAAAGAAGAAAAAGUAGGCCCAAAUCUUCAUCAUGUUGGAUUAGGCCAUGAGUUCCUGAAUAAGACUCCUAAAGUGCAAGAAAUAAAAUCAAGAAUCAAUAAAUGGGAUGGAUUCAAACUAAAAAGCUUCUUGUCAGCAAAAGAAACAAUCAGUGAGGUAAAGAGAGAGCCUACAGAAUAGGAGGAAAUUUUUACCACACACACAUCAGAGAGAGCACUAAUCUCCAGGUAUAUAAAGAACUCAAAAAACUUAGCACCAAAAACAUAAAUAACCCAAUCAAUAAAUGGGCUAAGAAACUGAACAGACAUUUCUCAGAAGAUAUACUGUCAGUUAACAAACAUAUGAAAAAUAUUCAACAUCUCUAGCAAUUAGUGAAAUGCAAAUCAAAACUAAGAUUUCAUCUCACUCCAGUCAGAAAGCCAGUUAUUAAGAAUACAGGUAACAAUAAGUGUUGGUAAGGAUGUGGGGGAAAAAGCACACUCGUACAUUGCUGGUGAGACUGCAAAGUAUUGCAACCAAUCUGGGAAGCAGUAUGGAGAUUCCUUAGAAAACUUAGAAUGGAACCAUCAUUUGACCCAGCUAUCCCACUCCUGGGUUUAUACCCAAAGGACUGAAAAUCAACAUACUACAGUGACGUAGCCACAUCAAUGUUUAUAACAGCACAAUUCACAAUAACUAAAUUGUGGAACCAACCUAGAUGCCCUUCAAUAGAUAAAUGGAUUAAGAAAGUUGGUAUAUAUACACAAUGGAAUACUACUCAGUGUUAAGAGAGAAUAAAACCAUGGCAUUUGCAGGUAAAUGGAUGGAGUUGAAGAAUAUCAUGCUAAGUGAAGCCAAGCCCACAAAACCAAUGUUUUCUCUGAUAAGUGGAUGCUGAUCCAUAAUGCGUGG
RNAcentral lists this long non-coding RNA (1913 nucleotides) under Marmota monax (woodchuck). Lineage: Eukaryota; Metazoa; Chordata; Mammalia; Rodentia; Sciuridae. The record is from RNAcentral.